Molecule: unclassified non-coding RNA, 352 nt
Filed under: Hevea brasiliensis (rubber tree)
Lineage: Eukaryota; Viridiplantae; Streptophyta; Magnoliopsida; Malpighiales; Euphorbiaceae
Source: RNAcentral
GACACCAUAUUUUGGCCGAUCCCUGAAAUCAAUAAAUUCUGAAACCGAUCCCCAGCACUGAGUCUCCCUUUGCCAGCCAAUUACAUUUCCGAUCUCUCCUCAAAAGAAAUCAAAUCAAUACUAAGUCCCCAUAUCAUUUAAAGCUUCACCGAUCUCUCAAACCAAUUAUCAAGUCUCCUGACUAGUCAAUUACAUUUUCGAUCUCUCUUGUCAAACGAAAUUGAACCAACAUCAGGCUUUCAUGCCACCAUUCUUAUUGUCGAUCUCCCUUUUAAAAGUUUGGGGAUAAUCGUCUGAUAAAGUUAAGGUUCCAAUCGGUUUAAUGAUGAUUCCAAUCUUAAGUGUUCAAAUC